This 392-nucleotide ribosomal RNA is filed under the name uncultured bacterium. Its description in RNAcentral is "partial 16S ribosomal RNA". It matches the Rfam family "Bacterial small subunit ribosomal RNA", at positions 523 to 918 of the family's 1533-position model. The record is from RNAcentral.
ACACGUAGGGGCCUGACGUUGUUCGGAAUCAUUGGGCGUAAAGGGCGCGCAGGCGGCCGUCCAAGUCCGGUGUUAAAUGGUCGGGCUCAACCCGAUCAUGCGCUGGAAACUGGGCGGCUUGAGUCCCGUAGGGGAUGCCGGAAUUCCAGGUGUAGGGGUGAAAUCUGUAGAUAUCUGGAAGAACACCGAUAGCGAAGGCAGGCAUCUGGCCGGAGACUGACGCUGAGGCGCGAAAGCGCGGGGAGCGAACAGGUUUAGAUACCCUGGUAGUCCGCGCAGUAAACGAUGCGCACCAGGUGUCGGGCGGCAGCGCCCGGUACCGGAGCAAACGCGAUGAGUGCGCCGCCUGGGGAGUAUGCCCGCAAGGGUGAAACUCAAAUGAAUUGGCGGGG